This 2778-nucleotide long non-coding RNA is filed under the name Androctonus crassicauda. Lineage: Eukaryota; Metazoa; Arthropoda; Arachnida; Scorpiones; Buthidae. The record is from RNAcentral.
ACAAUAUUCGUUAUUAUGGCGGUAGCAUCUUCCUAUCUUAAAAAAAAAAAUCGGAAAAUUCUUUUGAAUUUUAAUUUGUAUAAAUGCAUUAAAAAUUGGUGGAAAUUAUUAUUAAAUUUUACAUUUUUAUCGUUUAAAACUUUAUGUAAGUAGUUUUAUGUUCUCCAAUCUGGCUAAUGGAUGCGCGAGUGUGUAUAUGGACACCGUCUUCCCAGUUUUUGCAUCCUAAUCCACACUAACACUUCUACAUACAGUAUUUAGUUUAUAAAGUAUUUUUAAUCUGAUAAUGUUUCCCCAAACAGUUCCAUUUAUCAAUAAUAAAGAUUCAAAACUUUCGAAAACACUACUCACUUUCAAAAUGGUUUCUUCUUUCCCGGAGGCCCACUCUGAAAAAUAAAUAUAAUGGAUCUAUAGUUUUCACUAUGUUUAUUUUCUAUGGCUAUACGGUUUAUAUAUAAAAUCAUAGAAAGAUAAAAAAAUCUUUUAAAACAAAUGAAAAUUCUACUUAAAUAUAUUCCUACAUUCGGGUUAAAAUUCAUACGGCAGUCGAUAAUCUUACUUAGGUUUGAUAUCAAAACAAAAGGAUUUAGAUGUAGGUAUGUAAGCUAAUUUUAUUUUUUAUCAAUAGCGUUAAUUAUAAAUUAAUUAAGGAAUUAAAAAAAAACGUGGUGGUGAUCUACCGCGUCGUCGAUUGUCUUAUCGAUAAUUACGCGCGUAGAAGUGUGAAGACCGGUGCCAGAAGCGCGGACCAAACGUGACGUACACUCAAAUUAUUUCCCUUUAGUAAUAUUAAGAAAAUUUAAGCAAAAAUAUGCCCGGUAUAUUGGUUUAUUUACAAAUUUAUAUAAAAGGAGCCAAGUUACUCCAGCCGCCUAUAACAAUACUGUACUGUAGAAUUUAAAGCUAAAAAUAAGGAUGAGUCCAUUCGAUGUCCGUAAAUAACUUUAAAAAAGGUCGCUCAACAGUGGUAUUAAUAAAAAACAAUCAUUAUUUACUUGGUGGCGAUAAGUGUCCACGUGUGAUCUACAUCUACCAAACGACUGCAGGAAGUGACUCAUCGUCACGUGACUCCGUUUCCGGGUGACUCCCUCUCGAAGGUUUUAUCCAACCAGCCGGGUAUUUACAAAUCACGCAAUACGGUCCAAAAUUGUUAAACAAAAUUAAUAUUUCAUAUUGGAUCAUAUUUAUUCUUUACUCGGAUCCUUCGAUUAAACGAGGCAUCAGUCGAUAAUUUGGUAGGGAAAAGAAAGGUGUUUUUAGUUUUGUAAAUUAAAAUAUAAUUCUUGGUUGGCACAGGUGCAUUAGGGUACUAGAAAAAAAAAAACAGGUUUUAUCAGCAGAUUUAUGUUUUCGAAGCUCGUUUUAAUAAUUAUAUAGAAUAUAUACUAAUUCGGAAUGUGUUGAUUGAAUGAAGAGGAGAAGGAAAGCGGCGAAUAUGCCUGGAAGAAACGAAGCCAAAGAAUGUGUUUAGUUGUUUAGUUCUUUUAAAAUUAUGCAAAGUAUCGAAUGUAUAUACAUGGAAGAUUAUUUUCUUACAAUGUUACGGUUUCUCCAGACUUUGGUUAUUAGCGUGUCGACUGGUAAGUUUCUUUUUGCAAAGUUUUUUACUGGCCUCGGGUGCUCAUUAGCUUUCAAAGAUAGCUCAGACAUUCCGGGUUGUUGUAGUGUUUAACGGAAUUCCGAGAAAUUAAUUCCAACGCCAGACGAAUUUGUCGGAAGAAAAGGUGGUUUAUUGGCCAAGGGUUUCCGCUUUCUACGUACAAAAGGGGGGAAAAGAGAGUUAUCCGAGCGUGUUAGAAAAGAGGGAAAUCAGCUUAGAGUGGUUAAGUACCACAGACAUGUCUCGGCGCGUACAGAAAUUUGUAAUUCGUCUCCCUAAUUAGAUGCGUUUCGCUCCAAAAACUCGAUCUCAUCGAAAACCCGGUGAGUUGUGUGUUACAAAACUACGUUAAUUCAUCAGAGCAAAACAGGAAAACUUUAUUAUAAAAUAGAAAAGACAGAGUUGGCAACACUUAUAACGCGUAGCCAAAGUUUAAAAUAUGUUUUUCCUCUCCGGAGAUUUAUGGCCAAGUUGGCGCGAAUUAAUCUUUGAUGCGUUUCAACAAAACACGAUACGUCACGAGAGGAGGGAGAUCACCGGCAUCGAGAUGAGCAUUCCUUCCGUAAUUUCCUCUUCUUUUUUUUUUUGCUUUUAUAUAUAUAUAUAUUUUUUUCUGGUGUUGGAAAUUCGGCCGAAACCAACUUCAUCGCCAAGAAAAACAAGGGAUAAGUUUCUGCUGUAGAGAAAAAACUUUCAUCUGGCCAAAUCCCGACGGAGAAACGGGUAGACAGAUAAAAAAAAAAAUGGCCGACGGAAGAGAGCGAGAGAGAGAAAUAAUUUACGGAAAUAACAACCGCCGUGUCUCUAGGGUAGAGUCGAACAAUUUAUCAUAUUCCCGUUAUCUGUCACGAAGGAUCGACUGAGACUAAAUAGAAUUAGUGGACGAUCUCUCUUUAAAGUCGGGGGACUGGCAGUGGAGAGGGGCUUGGAUUGUUUCCGAUUCCUUCCACUCUUGUUUGUUCGCUCCACUUCCGUUCAGUUCCCCGUACGGUUAACUAAGCUCAAAGGUCGGAUAAUCCCGAUAGAUAAUCCUGCUGUAAUCUUGUCUCCUUGGCUAUAAAACCGCUAACCUUUGAUUAAACAAAUUAAUACAAUACGAGUACUGAUCUCAAAUUCCGUUAUUGUUUUAAUAAUAAUAAUAAUAAUAAUAAUUUGUUCAUCUCUUGUUGUCGUCUGGC